CCUACGGGAGGCAGCAGUGAGGAAUAUUGGUCAAUGGGCGAGAGCCUGAACCAGCCAAGUAGCGUGAAGGAUGACUGCCCUAUGGGUUGUAAACUUCUUUUAUAAGGGAAUAAAGUGAGGGACGUGUCCCUUUUUGUAUGUACCUUAUGAAUAAGGAUCGGCUAACUCCGUGCCAGCAGCCGCGGUAAUACGGAGGAUCCAAGCGUUAUCCGGAUUUAUUGGGUUUAAAGGGAGCGUAGGUUGACAUAUAAGUCAGCUGUGAAAGUUUACGGCUCAACCGUGAAAUUGCAGUUGAUACUGUAUGUCUUGAGUGUACAAGAGGUGGGCGGAAUUCGUGGUGUAGCGGUGAAAUGCUUAGAUAUCACGAAGAACUCCAAUUGCGAAGGCAGCUCACUGGGGUACAACUGACACUGAGGCUCGAAAGUGUGGGUAUCAAACAG
RNAcentral lists this ribosomal RNA (440 nucleotides) under uncultured Bacteroides sp. Its description in RNAcentral is "bacterial SSU rRNA". It matches the Rfam family "Bacterial small subunit ribosomal RNA", at positions 338 to 775 of the family's 1533-position model. The record is from RNAcentral. Lineage: Bacteria; Pseudomonadati; Bacteroidota; Bacteroidia; Bacteroidales; Bacteroidaceae.